RNAcentral lists this ribosomal RNA (249 nucleotides) under uncultured Gardnerella sp. RNAcentral's name for it is "partial 16S ribosomal RNA". It matches the Rfam family "Bacterial small subunit ribosomal RNA", at positions 107 to 355 of the family's 1533-position model. Lineage: Bacteria; Bacillati; Actinomycetota; Actinomycetes; Bifidobacteriales; Bifidobacteriaceae. The record is from RNAcentral.
UAGAGUAAUGCGUGACCAACCUGCCCCAUGCUCCAGAAUAGCUCUUGGAAACGGGUGGUAAUGCUGGAUGCUCCAACUUGACGCAUGUCUUGUUGGGAAAGUGUUUAGUGGCAUGGGAUGGGGUCGCGUCCUAUCAGCUUGUAGGCGGGGUAAUGGCCCACCUAGGCUUCGACGGGUAGCCGGCCUGAGAGGGCGGACGGCCACAUUGGGACUGAGAUACGGACCAGACUCCUACGGGAGGCAGCAGCU